This 497-nucleotide ribosomal RNA is filed under the name uncultured bacterium. Its description in RNAcentral is "partial 16S ribosomal RNA". It matches the Rfam family "Bacterial small subunit ribosomal RNA", at positions 28 to 507 of the family's 1533-position model. The record is from RNAcentral.
GAUGAACGCUGGCGGCGUGCCUAAUACAUGCAAGUCGAGCGAACGGACGAGAAGCUUGCUUCUCUGAUGUUAGCGGCGGACGGGUGAGUAACACGUGGAUAACCUACCUAUAAGACUGGGAUAACUUCGGGAAACCGGAGCUAAUACCGGAUAAUAUUUUGAACCGCAUGGUUCAAAAGUGAAAGACGGUCUUGCUGUCACUUAUAGAUGGAUCCGCGCUGCAUUAGCUAGUUGGUAAGGUAACGGCUUACCAAGGCAACGAUGCAUAGCCGACCUGAGAGGGUGAUCGGCCACACUGGAACUGAGACACGGUCCAGACUCCUACGGGAGGCAGCAGUAGGGAAUCUUCCGCAAAGGGCGAAAGCCUGACGGAGCAACGCCGCGUGAGUGAUGAAGGUCUCCGGAUCGUAAAACUCUGUUAUUAGGGAAGAACAUAUGUGUAAGUAACUGUGCACAUCUUGACGGUACCUAAUCAGAAAGCCACGGCUAACUACGUG